This 644-nucleotide long non-coding RNA is filed under the name Apteryx owenii (little spotted kiwi). RNAcentral describes it as "lncRNA (ENSAOWG00000010768.1)". The record is from RNAcentral. Lineage: Eukaryota; Metazoa; Chordata; Aves; Apterygiformes; Apterygidae.
CCUGCCGCGCCCCAACGGCUGCCGCGCACCGCGCAUGCGUGGGGCUGCCCGCCCCCCCCCGCUGGGGCACCAUGGGAGCGCCCGGGGCAUCAUGGGAGCAUCCAGAGCAUCAUGGGAGCGCCCGGGGCAUCAUGGGAGUGCCUGGAGCAUCAUGGGAGUACCCAGGGCAUCAUGGGAGUGACAUGGGGCCUCAUGGGAGCACCCAGGGCAUCAUGGGAGUGAGGUGGGGCAUCAUGGGAUGCUCCCACUUGGCAUGCCCCACCCUGGGGCUGAUGGGAGCUGCUGCCCCAGAGGCUCAUGGGAGCCGCUGCCCCGCAGGUGAUGCCGCGCGGAUGGAGGCCCCCUGCGGGGACCAGGCUGAGCCGAUGACCCCCGACCCCAGGGCGCCCGGACGCCUGGACCCCCCCGCGGCCACGCCCCCAGGCGGCCCCCGGACCCCCGGCCCCGGGCUCAAGCGCCGCCCCGACGCCUGUGACUGGUCAGUACAGAGCAGGGCAUGCUGGGAGCGCCCUGGGGCAUGCUGGGAGCCAGGUGCCAUGCCCCAGGGCAUGCUGGGAGCAGGGCGCGGUGGCCCAGGGCAUGCUGGGAUGGGGGGGGCAGUGCCCCAGGGCAUGCUGGGAUCAGGGGGCUGCCCUGGAGCAUGC